UACGUAGGGCGCGAGCGUUGUCCGGAAUUAUUGGGCGUAAAGAGCUCGUAGGCGGCCUGUCGCGUCAAUUGUGAAAGCCCGGGGCUUAACCCCGGGUCUGCAGUCGAUACGGGCAGGCUAGAGUGUGGUAGGGGAGAUCGGAAUUCCUGGUGUAGCGGUGAAAUGCGCAGAUAUCAGGAGGAACACCGGUGGCGAAGGCGGAUCUCUGGGCCAUUACUGACGCUGAGGAGCGAAAGCGUGGGGAGCGAACAGG
RNAcentral lists this ribosomal RNA (253 nucleotides) under uncultured bacterium. RNAcentral describes it as "partial 16S ribosomal RNA". It matches the Rfam family "Bacterial small subunit ribosomal RNA", at positions 524 to 776 of the family's 1533-position model. The record is from RNAcentral.